GUCUUCUUGUAAUAUUUAGGAAGUCUGACCUGCCCAGUGAAAAUUAAAUUUAACGGCCGCGGUAUUCUGACCGUGCAAAGGUAGCAUAAUCAUUAGUCUUUUAAUAGAGGGCUGGAAUGAAGGGUUUGACGAGGUGUUGACUGUCUCAUUUAAUUUGAAUUUAGAAUUUAACUUUUUAGUCAAAAGGCUGAAAUAGUAUUGGAAGACGAGAAGACCCUAUAGAGCUUUAUAAUAUUUUUAUUAAUAAAUUUUGGUAAAUGAUUAUUUAUUAUUAUAAUCUAUUAUUUUGUUGGGGUGACAAAAAUAUAUAAUGAACUUUUUUAUUUAUUUAACAUUGAUUUAUGAUUAUUAGAUCCAAUUUUAUUGAUUAUUAGAACAAGUUACCUUAGGGAUAACAGCGUAAUCUUCUUUCAGAGUUCAUAUUUACAAGAAGGCUUGCGACCUCGAUGUUGGAUUAAGAUGAUAAUUAGGUGUAGCUGCUUAAUGUAUAGGUCUGUUCGACCUUUAAAUUCUU
This 514-nucleotide ribosomal RNA is filed under the name Epiophlebia superstes. Its description in RNAcentral is "partial 16S ribosomal RNA". It matches the Rfam family "Bacterial large subunit ribosomal RNA", at positions 1819 to 2597 of the family's 2925-position model. Lineage: Eukaryota; Metazoa; Arthropoda; Insecta; Odonata; Epiophlebiidae. The record is from RNAcentral.